This 95-nucleotide ribosomal RNA is filed under the name Mus pahari (shrew mouse). RNAcentral describes it as "rRNA (MGP_PahariEiJ_G0032719.1)". The record is from RNAcentral. Lineage: Eukaryota; Metazoa; Chordata; Mammalia; Rodentia; Muridae.
AUCUGCAGCCAGAAUACCCUGAAUACAUCUGAUCUCCGAAACUAAACAGGGUUGUGCCAGGUUACUAUUUAGAUAGGAGAACCUUGUCAGUGAUU